Molecule: long non-coding RNA, 1134 nt
Organism: Oreochromis aureus
Lineage: Eukaryota; Metazoa; Chordata; Actinopteri; Cichliformes; Cichlidae
Exons: 3
Source: RefSeq, a predicted model, not a curated record
GUAGAGAUCAGCCACAGAACUUUCUGUUCUCUAUUUUUUUUAAAAUUGUUUCUGUUGUUUAAACCUUCAGUAGGUUCCUUCUGACCUACAGAGAAAGCAGAUGGAUUACACCAACCUCACACUUUUUAUCUUUAUAUGGAUUUUUGUUCCAUCCUGAUGAUCAGAAGAGUGUUUGAGGAUUUAAUAGAUCUCUUAAAAAAACCAACCAGAAAAACAUCACAGCUGAGUCUGGACAGGACGUCACUCUGACAUGUCGAGCUCCAAACAACAACAUCAUGGUUGUAGAGUGGAGCAGAGCUGACCUGGGAGAUGAAUAUGUGCUUCUGUACCGGGAUGAUCACCUUCACUCAGACAACCAGCAUCCAUCUUUUAAGAAUCGGGUGGAUCUGCAGGACAGACAGAUGAAGGAUGGAGACGUGUCUUUAAUUCUGAACAAUGUAACGAUUAAUGACACUGGAACAUACAAGUGCCGUGUCUUAAUGGAAGAAACACAAUCAUGGGAGCUCAUCAGCAUCUACCUGAGAGUCGAUCCUCCAGGAAAACAAGGAGGACACACAGAGGAUGGAGGGAAGGAAGAUGGAUCUGUUGCAUUGAUAGUUGGUGUCUGUAUUCCUGCUGUGCUUCUUGUUGGUGCUGUUGUUUUUUUGAUCUACAGAAAACAUAAAAAGAAGCAGAGUCAGAAUUCAUACCAGCCUCCUGUUGAGCUGCAGCCUGUUUGAAAUGUCUCAGAGUUUUUUCCACAUAAACUCAACAGUGUUGUCAGUGAAGAUUCAGGUACAGACAGAUGAUCUGAUCAGCAGCAGACAGACAUCAAACAUGUCCAGAGUUGGUUUGAUGAUAAAUUUCUCUGAUUAUCAUCAAACCUGUUCAGACUGUGUCAGUGUGUCUCUGUGCUGUCUGUCAGAGACUCUGUGAACUACAGUGUUUGUUCAUCUUCACAGUUUUUGUGGGAUUUGUUGAUGGGAAUGUUUUUUUGGCUUCCAGAUGCUCAUCUUAUUGGUAUUUUUCUGUAGCACAUUUUUUUCAUAUUUAUGUCCUGUAUUUUGGAUUUGUAUUUUCAAGCAAAAAAAAUUGUCAAAUGUUGAUAGAGAUAAAAAAAUAAAUAAAAAAUAACUUCAGCCUGUGAACACAAAA